AUUGAACGCUGGCGGCAUGCCUUACACAUGCAAGUCGAACGGUAACAGGUCUUCGGAUGCUGACGAGUGGCGAACGGGCGAGUAAUACAUCGGAACGUGCCUAAUAGUGGGGGAUAACUACUCGAAAGAGUGGCUAAUACCGCAUGAGAUCUACGGAUGAAAGCAGGGGAUCGCAAGACCUUGUGCUACUAGAGCGGCCGAUGGCAGAUUAGGUAGUUGGUGGGAUAAAAGCUUACCAAGCCGACGAUCUGUAGCUGGUCUGAGAGGACGAUCAGCCACACUGGGACUGAGACACGGCCCAGACUCCUACGGGAGGCAGCAGUGGGGAAUUUUGGACAAUGGGCGCAAGCCUGAUCCAGCAAUGCCGCGUGCAGGAUGAAGGCCUUCGGGUUGUAAACUGCUUUUGUACGGAACGAAAAGCCCCGGGUUAAUACCCUGGGGUCAUGACGGUACCGUAAGAAUAAGCACCGGCUAACUACGUGCCAGCCGCCGCGGUAA
RNAcentral lists this ribosomal RNA (498 nucleotides) under uncultured bacterium. Its description in RNAcentral is "partial 16S ribosomal RNA". It matches the Rfam family "Bacterial small subunit ribosomal RNA", at positions 30 to 523 of the family's 1533-position model. The record is from RNAcentral.